AGAGUUUGAUCCUGGCUCAGAAUCAACGCUGGCGGCGCGCUUAACACAUGCAAGUCGAACGAGAAAGCGGGGGCAACCUCGUGAGUAAAGUGGCGUCCGGGUGAGUAACACGUGGGUAAUCUACCCUUUGGUGGGGAAUAACCCUGGGAAACCGGGGCUAAUACCGCAUAAUCCCGAGAGGGCAAAGGAGCAAUUCGCCGAAGGAGGAGCCCGCGGCCGAUUAGCUAGUUGGUAGGGUAAAAGCCUACCAAGGCGACGAUCGGUAGCCGGCCUGAGAGGGCACACGGCCACACUGGCACUGAAACACGGGCCAGACUCCUACGGGAGGCAGCAGUGGGGAAUCUUGCACAAUGGGGGAAACCCUGAUGCAGCGACGCCGCGUGAGCGAUGAAGCCCUUCGGGGUGUAAAGCUCUUUCGGCAGGGAAGAUUAUGACGGUACCUGCAGAAGCAGCUGCGGCUAACUACGUGCCAGCAGCCGCGGUAAUACGUAGGCAGCGAGCGUUGUUCGGAAUUACUGGGCGUAAAGGGUGUGUAGGCGGUUCUCUAAGUUCGGUGUGAAAUCUCCCGGCUCAACUGGGAGGGUGCGCCGAGGACUGGAGGACUAGAGUGCGGGAAAGGAGAGUGGAAUUCCUGGUGUAGCGGUGAAAUGCGUAGAGAUCAGGAGGAACACCGGCGGUGUAAACGGCUCUCUGGACCGUAACUGACGCUGAAACACGAAAGCGUGGGGAGCAAACAGGAUUAGAUACCCUGGUAGUCCACGCCCUAAACGAUGCACACUUGGUGUGAGUCAUUCAUUUGAUUCGUGCCGGAGCUAACGCGUUAAGUGUGCCGCCUGGGGAGUACGGUCGCAAGGCUGAAACUUAAAUGAAUUGACGG
This 877-nucleotide ribosomal RNA is filed under the name uncultured bacterium. RNAcentral describes it as "bacterial SSU rRNA". It matches the Rfam family "Bacterial small subunit ribosomal RNA", at positions 8 to 916 of the family's 1533-position model. The record is from RNAcentral.